RNAcentral lists this long non-coding RNA (1488 nucleotides) under Callithrix jacchus (white-tufted-ear marmoset). Its description in RNAcentral is "lncRNA (ENSCJAG00000078430.1)". Lineage: Eukaryota; Metazoa; Chordata; Mammalia; Primates; Cebidae. The record is from RNAcentral.
AUGGCGACCAAAAGCUGUGGGGUGGGGAAACUCACGGCUGGUCCAGCUGAGGCUGCAAAGCGGCUUUUCUUCUCUGCUGGUGAAGCUGACGGAAAGGAAGUGGCCGUUGGCCCUCAGCCCCACCCAGCUUUUAGGCCAGCCACACCGCCUCAGUUCUUACAGAAGGUACAGGACAAAGGACAGAAUUCAAGGUCCUCCCUUCGCUCAUCUCAGACAAAUCCUUUCCUGAUUGCUUCCUCUGCCGUAAGUUUAUUUUAUUUUAUAAACAAAUGCAGAUUCACUGAGCUAGAUGAAUGCGUGACUAUUUUUUCCUUCCCACUUUCCCACGUGAAUCAAAGACUUCCCACUUUCCCAUGUGAUCAAAGACUCAGAAGAAUGCAACUGCUUGCCUCUUAACUACCCAUAGCUUUAAAAAUGUUCUUCCUCUCUCUCCAGCAUUCGUCCUUUCCCUUUAAAUACUGAAGCCCUCAAAAUCGUCUUUGGAGAAAGGCACAGACUUGUCCCGCAAGCGUUGUUCUUAACUUUGGCAAAAUAAGUCCAAAUUAAUUGAGACCUAUCUCAGAUAUUUUUGGAUUUACAGACAAUAUAAAACUUUUACAUUAAAAUUGUGUUAAGGGUCAUAGAACUUCCAAGCUUGGUUGUGAAAUGAAUUGUAAAUGAAUUUUGUGCAACUUCCACCAGUCUCACUCUAACAAGUGAAAAAUGAUAGCUAUUAUUCAUUAUCAGGAUUAGUCUUGAAUGAGGCAAGUGUUGACUUAGUGGAGUGUGAUAUGAUAUAAGAACUAUACAUGUGCUUUCCGCUCCUGGUUCCUGCCACACAGCUCUGAAAACCCUUGAAAUUUCUGGAGUGAUGAGUGUCUUUUGCAUAUUAAUGAGACGAUUAGUGGCUUGGGACCCUUAGAUAGCUUCAGGUUAGAGCUAGUCACCAGAAGGACCAAGACAUUAAAUUAGAGUUGGAGUUGUCACACCACCCCCAGCCUUCCAAGGAAGAGAGAGGGAGGGAUGUUUGAGUUGAUCACCAAUAACCAAUUAUCUAAUCAAUGUAAUGUUGCCGCCAAAAUAUCCAAAAGUUGGGGUUCUGUGGAGGUGCCUGGGAGGGUGAUUGGCCCUCAUACCUUGCCCUGGCUCUUUUAAAAUUGCAUCUCUUUAUCUGUCCUGUUCAUAGAUAUUCUUUGUAAUGUAUCUUAUAAUGAAUGGGUAAAUAUAAGUAAAAUAUUUCCUCAAGUUCUUUGAGCUUCUCUGGGAAAUUAGUUGAAUCUGAGGAAGUGGUAAUACGAACCAAGGUUUAUAACCAGUCACUGAGAAGCACAGGUGAAAACCCCAGGGUUGCAGUAGACAUUUUAAAUGGAGGUUAGUCCUAUGGGACUGAGCACUUAACCUCUAGAAUCUGAUGCUAACUCUUGGUAGAUUGCGUCAAAACUGAGCUAAGUUAUACUAUACUCAAUUGGUAUCUGCUGGAGAAUUAGUUGCUUGGUGUGUCAUGGGGAA